This is a small nuclear RNA of Vicugna pacos (alpaca), 102 nucleotides long. The record is from RefSeq and is a predicted model, not a curated record. Lineage: Eukaryota; Metazoa; Chordata; Mammalia; Artiodactyla; Camelidae.
GCUCACUUCGGCAGCACAUAUACUAAAAUUAGAAUGAUACAGAGAUUAGCAUGGCCCCUGCUCAAGGAUGACAUGCAAACUCAUGAAGUAUUCCGUAUUUUU